Molecule: ribosomal RNA, 497 nt
Filed under: uncultured bacterium
Lineage: Bacteria
Description: partial 16S ribosomal RNA
Rfam family: Bacterial small subunit ribosomal RNA
Source: RNAcentral
GACGAACGCUGGCGGCGUGCCUAAUACAUGCAAGUAGAACGCUGAAGCUUGGUGCUUGCACCGAGCGGAUGAGUUGCGAACGGGUGAGUCACGCGUAGGUAACCUGCCUGGUAGCGGGGGAUAACUAUUGGAAACGAUAGCUAAUACCGCAUAAGAGUAGAUGUUGCAUGACAUUUGCUUAAAAGGUGCAAUUGCAUCACUACCAGAUGGACCUGCGUUGUAUUAGCUAGUUGGUGAGGUAACGGCUCACCAAGGCAACGAUACAUAGCCGACCUGAGAGGGUGAUCGGCCACACUGGGACGGAGACACGGCCCAGACUCCUACGGGAGGCAGCAGUAGGGAAUCUUCGGCAAUGGACGGAAGUCUGACCGAGCAACGCCGCGUGAGUGAAGAAGGUUUUCGGAUCGUAAAGCUCUGUUGUAAGAGAAGAACGAGUGUGAGAGUGGAAAGUUCACACUGUGACGGUAUCUUACCAGAAAGGGACGGCUAACUACGUG